UUCCAGAGUGUUGAGUUCAGUCCAGGGCUGCCUCCCCUGUUCUGGUAAUUAAACUUUGGGACAGUAAGUAACUGGGAGGACCACAGAGAAGGAAAGUUUUGCUUUCCUCCUUGUUUUCUCUCCCAGCCCACAA
This 133-nucleotide small nucleolar RNA is filed under the name Pogona vitticeps (central bearded dragon). The record is from RNAcentral. Lineage: Eukaryota; Metazoa; Chordata; Lepidosauria; Squamata; Agamidae.